Orcinus orca (killer whale) is the source of this 178-nucleotide long non-coding RNA. RefSeq lists it as uncharacterized. The record is from RefSeq and is a predicted model, not a curated record. Lineage: Eukaryota; Metazoa; Chordata; Mammalia; Artiodactyla; Delphinidae. The transcript has 3 exons.
CCCUGCCCAGUGUCAUUGGGGCCAACAGAUCGAGACUGAGUUUGGUUCACAAGCAAAGGAAACUUUAUAUUUUGAUCAGAGAAUGGAGAGGUGUGCAAGAUGUGGUUCUUUCACACACAUACAUAUAUCUAUUCUUCUUUGGAACCUUUUCCCAGUUAGAAUCAUCAUACCUGAAUCC